Molecule: long non-coding RNA, 392 nt
Filed under: Sinocyclocheilus grahami
Lineage: Eukaryota; Metazoa; Chordata; Actinopteri; Cypriniformes; Cyprinidae
Description: lncRNA (ENSSGRG00000033064.1)
Source: RNAcentral
UUAAAUUUGUUAAACAUAAAAGGUGAUACCAGGAUGUCUGUAAAUGUUAUACUUUGUCUUUAGGAAACAGAACUUAACAAAAAACUGAGAAAUGAAAUGGCCACAGAAAGGGCAGAGAAGCAGGUAAGCCCGUCAGAAAAAGCUGGACCUUUUUGAGUGUUAGUAUCAUUUAACAAGGGUAACAUCGGACUUAACACUUGGAUGAAAUGAAGUAUGCGUGUGUGUCAGGAGGUAUUGAGAUCCCUCCACCACAGUCAGAGUUUGCUGCAGAGACAGACAGAAUCUCUGAGCCGAGCAGAGAAGGAGCAUCGCAAACUCUGUGAAGAAUAUCAGGUCCUUAAAACAGAACAUGAAUUGAACCAAGAGAGGACUAAAGAAAAAGACGACGGCUU